Small nuclear RNA from Oryctolagus cuniculus (rabbit), 107 nucleotides. The record is from Ensembl. Lineage: Eukaryota; Metazoa; Chordata; Mammalia; Lagomorpha; Leporidae.
GUGCUCGCUUUGGCAGCACAUAUACUAAAACUGGAACGAUACAGAGAAGAUUAGCAUGGCCCCUGCGCAAGAAUGACACACAAAUUCAUGAAGCGUUCCAUAUUUUU